RNAcentral lists this ribosomal RNA (1270 nucleotides) under Nymphalis io (European peacock). RNAcentral describes it as "Inachis io (European peacock) partial 16S ribosomal RNA". The stretch from base 1079 to 1238 matches the Rfam family "Archaeal large subunit ribosomal RNA", at positions 2544 to 2703 of the family's 2987-position model. The record is from RNAcentral. Lineage: Eukaryota; Metazoa; Arthropoda; Insecta; Lepidoptera; Nymphalidae.
GGGGGUAAAUUAAUAAUUAAUAACUAAUAAAAGAAAUUUUAAUAUUAAAAAAAAAUAAUGGGGGUUAGAGUAUUUUUAAUAGAAAAAAUUAAUAGUUUUAUAGUUAAAUAUUACUGUAAAGGAAAUUAUAAAUAGUUGAAAGUUAAUUAAAAUAAAAGUAAAUUUAGUUUAUUGUAUCUUGUGUAUCAGAGUUUAUUAAAUAAUAAUAAUUUAUUUAAAUAAAUCUCGAAUUUAAAAGAGUUAAUUAAUUAAAAAAGUUAAUGUUGAAUAAUUAUUUUAAAUAAUUAAUUAGAAAUGAAAUGUUAAUCGUUUUUAAAUAUAUCUAGUUUUUUUAGAAAAAAAUUUAAUUUUAAAUUUAAAUAAUUUUAUAAUUUUUUAAUUAAUUAUAAAAAUUUAAAAUUUAAUAUUUUAGGGGAUAAGCUUUAAAUUAAAAUAUUAUAAUUAAUUAAGAUAAAAAUUAAAAUUUUUAAAAUUUAUAUUGUUUAAAAAUUGUAAUUUAUUAUAAAAAAUUUUAAUUAAAAUAAAAUUUAAAUUAAAUUUAAUUUUUUAUAAAAAAAUAAUUUUUAAUAAAAAAAAAUUAGUAAUAAUGAUAAAAUUAGUAUAUUAUAAUAAUUGAAUAAAAAAAUUAAUUUAAAUUAAAUUAAAGGAAUUCGGCAAAAUUUUAUAUUCACUUGUUUAUCAAAAACAUGUCUUUUUGAUAAUAAUUUAAAGUCUAAUCUGCCCACUGAUAAAUUAUUAAAGGGCUGCAGUAUAUUGACUGUACAAAGGUAGCAUAAUCAUUAGUCUUUUAAUUGAAGACUUGUAUGAAAGAUUUGAUGAAAUAUAAACUGUCUCUAAUUUAUUUAAAUAAAACUUAAUUUUUUAGUAAAAAAGCUAAAAUAAAAUUAAAAGACGAGAAGACCCUAUAGAGUUUUAUAAUUAAAAUAAUUAAUUUAAAAUAUAUAAAUAUAAAAAUAAAAUUUUUUUAAUUAUUUUAUUGGGGUGAUAGAAAAAUUAAAAAAACUUUUUUUAAAAUGUUAACAUUAAUAAGUGAUUAAAUGAUCCAUUUAUAGUGAUUAUAAGAAAAAAUUACCUUAGGGAUAACAGCGUAAUAUUUUUUUUUAAGUACAAAUAAAAAGGAAAGUUUGCGACCUCGAUGUUGGAUUAAGAUAAAAUUUAAAUGCAAAAGUUUAAAAUUUUGAUCUGUUCGAUCAUUAAAAUCUUACAUGAUCUGAGUUCAAACCGGUGUGAGCCAGGUUGGUUUCUAUCUUUAGUGAAAAUAAAUAUUUUA